RNAcentral lists this ribosomal RNA (904 nucleotides) under Escherichia coli. RNAcentral's name for it is "partial 23S ribosomal RNA". It matches the Rfam family "Bacterial large subunit ribosomal RNA", at positions 2045 to 2925 of the family's 2925-position model. The record is from RNAcentral. Lineage: Bacteria; Pseudomonadati; Pseudomonadota; Gammaproteobacteria; Enterobacterales; Enterobacteriaceae.
AACUCGCUGUGAAGAUGCAGUGUACCCGCGGCAAGACGGAAAGACCCCGUGAACCUUUACUAUAGCUUGACACUGAACAUUGAGCCUUGAUGUGUAGGAUAGGUGGGAGGCUUUGAAGUGUGGACGCCAGUCUGCAUGGAGCCGACCUUGAAAUACCACCCUUUAAUGUUUGAUGUUCUAACGUUGACCCGUGAUCCGGGUUGCGGACAGUGUCUGGUGGGUAGUUUGACUGGGGCGGUCUCCUCCUAAAGAGUAACGGAGGAGCACGAAGGUUGGCUAAUCCUGGUCGGACAUCAGGAGGUUAGUGCAAUGGCAUAAGCCAGCUUGACUGCGAGCGUGACGGCGCGAGCAGGUGCGAAAGCAGGUCAUAGUGAUCCGGUGGUUCUGAAUGGAAGGGCCAUCGCUCAACGGAUAAAAGGUACUCCGGGGAUAACAGGCUGAUACCGCCCAAGAGUUCAUAUCGACGGCGGUGUUUGGCACCUCGAUGUCGGCUCAUCACAUCCUGGGGCUGAAGUAGGUCCCAAGGGUAUGGCUGUUCGCCAUUUAAAGUGGUACGCGAGCUGGGUUUAGAACGUCGUGAGACAGUUCGGUCCCUAUCUGCCGUGGGCGCUGGAGAACUGAGGGGGGCUGCUCCUAGUACGAGAGGACCGGAGUGGACGCAUCACUGGUGUUCGGGUUGUCAUGCCAAUGGCACUGCCCGGUAGCUAAAUGCGGAAGAGAUAAGUGCUGAAAGCAUCUAAGCACGAAACUUGCCCCGAGAUGAGUUCUCCCUGACUCCUUGAGAGUCCUGAAGGAACGUUGAAGACGACGACGUUGAUAGGCCGGGUGUGUAAGCGCAGCGAUGCGUUGAGCUAACCGGUACUAAUGAACCGUGAGGCUUAACCUUACAACGCCGAAGGUGUUU